AUUGAACGCUGGCGGCAUGCUUUACACAUGCAAGUCGAACGGUAACAGGCCGCAAGGUGCUGACGAGUGGCGAACGGGUGAGUAAUGCAUCGGAGCGUGCCCAGUCGUGGGGGAUAACUACUCGAAAGAGUAGCUAAUACCGCAUACGAUCUAUGGAUGAAAGCGGGGGACCGUAAGGCCUCGCGCGAUUGGAGCGGCCGAUGUCAGAUUAGGUAGUUGGUGGGGUAAAGGCUCACCAAGCCAACGAUCUGUAGCUGGUCUGAGAGGACGACCAGCCACACUGGGACUGAGACACGGCCCAGACUCCUACGGGAGGCAGCAGUGGGGAAUUUUGGACAAUGGGCGCAAGCCUGAUCCAGCAAUGCCGCGUGCAGGAGGAAGGCCUUCGGGUUGUAAACUGCUUUUGUACGGAGCGAAACGGCUCUGGUUAAUACCCGGGGCUAAUGACGGUACCGUAAGAAUAAGCACCGGCUAACUACGUG
Molecule: ribosomal RNA, 482 nt
Filed under: uncultured bacterium
Lineage: Bacteria
Description: partial 16S ribosomal RNA
Rfam family: Bacterial small subunit ribosomal RNA
Source: RNAcentral